Molecule: long non-coding RNA, 6421 nt
Filed under: Eucalyptus grandis
Lineage: Eukaryota; Viridiplantae; Streptophyta; Magnoliopsida; Myrtales; Myrtaceae
Description: long non-coding RNA (EGRA_LNC005725)
Source: RNAcentral
UCAGGGGUCUUGCCUUUGAUCAUGUCAGCCACUGUCUGGCAUGUCAGGUCCAACAAGCUCUUGAUGUUCAGAUAGUUUGCGGACUAAUCAGACACAAAUUCAUACAUGCGUCAGACCCAGUAACAACUAAUUUGAACAGCUUUGUUAACAAAAAAAGUUGGCCAUGCCGCAUUAUGUUCACCAUUUGUAAAAACAGAAAACCCUUACAAUCAAGACCUUGGCAUAUUAAAUGAACACUUAGGUUUCUCCAAAGUCAAGACCCUGCCCAGGCUGGGAAUCAACAAUUACCUUCAUAUUGGAAGCCCCACCACUGUGUUAGUCCCUCCCACACAAAGUUGAGCAGUAGCGUGGGUGCAGGACAAGCACAAGUUUCCUAUUUCUAUACUAAAUGCGAGAUUUCCGCAUUAAUUCCUCACCAACAAAAAGAUUGCACAUGGUUCUCCUUCUCCAAUUAUCUUUAAUGAUCAAUGAUUCAAUAAUAUAAUCCUAGAUGAUGCAGGGCACAGCACAUGCCACUUAACUAGCUUGAACGUCAAACUACAUGAUGUUUAAUAGCACAAAAAUAUUCAUACGCCAGCCUCAAAGGCUAAAACAACAAUUAGGGAAAAAAAAAUUAAGAAAGCUUAGCACAUGGCGCAAGUAAGGCAUAUCAAAUGCAUCUCCACCAACUGAAGCUAGUUCCAUGGAUAAUUACACAAUCGCUAAAUUCAAUUUGAGAAAACAUUAACAAAUGUACACCCUAGAAAGACACUUCAUGUUGACAAUGCUACUAGAAGACUUCAACAUGUCUUUUAAAGGAGCAUUGUGCCAUUUCAAAGAUGAUACAUGACUCAAAUGCACUGUGAAAAGCAGUUAAUAGAGAUGGUAGUGCUCCUAAUAGCUCAUUGAAAUGUAAUAAUAUUGCAACUUCAAAGGUAUAAGUGUUUCCGUAAGGAGGAAAAAAACGAGGAUCUUUGGAAGUGCUUCUCACAGAGUUUUUCUCCACUUGAAAAAAGCAAGGAAUCUAACGUUUUAGUCAAUUCAAAUCAUCUCCCCAAAACUCAAAAGGGUUUCCUAUUGUAUAUAGGCCGGCCUGCGUGAUUUGAUUUACAAAGGCUACCAUGGGUGCACACACCAAAAGAAAGCAUCCAAUUCCACUCCUCGUGUACCGUCCAAUCCCUCUUAGCGUGACGUCCUGUAGCAAACAGAAUCCUAUUUGCCAAGCACAAAAGGGGGAAAAAAGGGAAAGCAAAAGAGAACAAGAACACAUGACACGCACAUCAAUCAACACAUCAAACUUCGCACGAACACGGCCUCGCACCGGACUAGUUCAAAUCGGAAUUGCAUCCCCAGUCCUUCUCUUUGCCACCCACAUUCGACAAAUUCAACGGAGAACCCUGAAUCCCUCAUCAAGACCACCCACUAACUUCCCGAUCUCAUGGAAAAAAAUCCGAUCUUUCGGCACAAACAAAAAAUCGGUCAAACAGAACAAGCGAAACCCUAAUCGCCGAAUCGCAAAACCUAGCCCCUCGACCAAACCCCCAAAAAUAAAAAUAAAAAGCCAACAAAACCUAAUUCGAGAACAACACGCCAAUCUCCUGCCAAACGAAGGCCCCCGAAAAAGAAAAAGAAGAAACUCAAAAAAAAAAAAGAAAAAGAAAAAGAAGAAGAAGGAACCCUAAAAAAGCAACAAGGGAAAGAUGGGGGAGGGAAUCAACAGACCAGGAUCAGGUCAAACAAGGUGGCCUGGUCGACCUUGACGAAAUCGACGUCCCAGGUCUUGAGUUCCUCGUCGUUGACGCGAUCCUCGGGCUUGGCGGACUCGACGUGCAUCUUGCAGUACUCGAUCACCUUGGCCAGGAUCUUGCUGUUCACGUUGGGCAGCGGGAUCGCGUUGUCGGCGCAGCCGUCCUCGAUCAUGUGCUUGAUCGUCUGCGACUCCACCGCCACCGACUGCUCCACAUCGAACGACUCCCCGUCGGAGCUCCGCAGCGUUAUCUUCCUCGACGUCGCCAUCUCUCGCCCUGCUUCCCCAAACGGAUUCCUCGCUGGCACCGGCAGAAGAUCGUCCUCCCUUCCCUCUCUGCACCAAGAAUCGGCGACCAGAUUUCGCUCUAGGCCCCUGUCGCUCUCUCUCUCUCUCUCUCUCUCUCUCUAUCUUCGAAAUCGAAUAUCGCGAGGAAAUCGAAAAAUCGAGUGCGGAAGAAGAAGCAAGAUAAGUGGGGGCCGGGCUUAAUAUAGAAGGAGGUCCCCCCGUCGAGUGCUGCGAGGGGGUAGCGGGUAGCGGGUAGCGUCCUGGAUCGGACCAUUGAGGGGUCGAAACGUGUCGCGAAAAAGUUCAUCGGGGCCGUACGUCUCUGACACGAAAAGGCGUAUAAUAGAUCCGUUCGCUAAAUUUUAUUUCCUUUUUUAUUUAGAUUUUUCGAUGCGUUUUUAUUUGCUGAUAAUAUUUUGUGCAGUUUCUUUUUCUUUUUCUUUUUCUUUUUUGAGAUUAAGCGUAGCUUUCUUUUCUUUUUUGGGUUUUCGGAUUUUGAAAAAGAAAACCCAAAUCAAAUCAAAACUCAAAGCUUCGACAAAGGAUAUCUGUUGCCGUCUUUUUAGAUUUUAUUUAGUUUCCCAUUAUGAGUUUUGAUGAGGUCACACAGGGUGGCCUGGUCGACCUUGACGAACUCGGCGUCCCAGGCCUUGAGGUCCUCGUCGUUGACGCGAUCCUCGGCCGUGGCGGACUCGACGUGCUUCUUGCAGUACUCGAUCACCAUGCCCAGGAUCUUGCUGUUCACGUUGGGCAGCGGGAUCGCGUCGUCAGUGCAGCAGUCCUCGAUCACGUGCUUGAUCACCUGCGACUCCUCCGCCACCGACUGCUCCACCUCGAACGACUCCCCGUCGGAGCUCCGCAGCGUUAUCUUCCUCGACGUCGCCAUCUCUCUCGCCCCGCUUCCCAAAAGGAUUCCUCGCCGGCACCGGCAGAAGAUCGUCCUCCCUUCCCCCCUCUGCGCGAAGAAUCGGCGAGCGGAUUUCGCUCUCAGCUCUGUCGCUUCUUCUCUCUCUCUCUCUCUUCUCGAAAUCGAAUCUCGCGAGGAAAUCGAAAAAUCGAGUGCGGUAGAAGGAUCGAGAGAAGUUGGGGCAGGGCUUAAUAUAGAAGGAGGUCCUUGGGAUCGAGUACUAAUAAUCAUUCGUGUGGUCACAAACUUUCGGUAUGAGCAAUGCAGAAAGCUAAUCAACAGAACGACACGGACGCUAAUUCUAUGUGCUACACCGGCUAUCGGAGAUCGAGCAAUAAAGAACGAACUACUUUACAAUGUCCUAAGGAGAAGUCCCUGGAGGUGACUAGGCAUCACCUCUACGUCGAUAAGGUGUUUAAAUGGGACAUAAAUCUAUUUUUGGACUCAUAUUUAAAUUAUAUGAGUUAGAGAUUUUUAAAAAUCCAACUAAAAAUGGAUCAAAAAAGUGAGUUUGAUUUAAAUGGAUCCAAAAUGAGUCAGAAUUUAUAAUCCAUUUUUGACUCAUUUAAAAUAUCAAGUGAGUUAGAACUUUGGAAUUCAUUUCUAAAUUUCCAACCCAACUCCACACAAUAUUUCCCUCUUUAACUUUAUAAAAAAAUUAUAAAAAAUCCAAAUUAUAAUUACUUUUCAUAUUUCAAUUUUCUUUUCUUUUUUCUUUCUUUUUCCUCCAUCCUUAGCCAGUGGCCAACACGGCAACGGCCAGGCCAAGCUCGAGCCUCUCCCAAUCUGGUGAGACUUGAGCUCAUCGAUAUCGAGUGGGGCCUCGGUCACACCGGAUCGGCAAGAUCGAGCCUCUACCUCACCAAUGAAGACCUCGCUAGAUCGACAAGAUCAGACCUCGCUCAAUGCUAGUGGGGCCUCAGCCUCAGCAACACUCCAGCUCGUCAGCGUUGGGCGAGCUCGAGUCUCGCCAAAUCUGGCGAUACGGGUCGAGUCGGGUAUGAAUUGGGUAUGGAUCGGAUCAUGUACAGAUUAUUAAAUUUAUACUACAUGAAUAUGAGUCAAACUAAGUUAAAUGGGUCAAAUAUGGGUCAACCCAUUUUUGACCCAAUCCAAACCCAAAUGAACCACCCAUUUGACGAGUCUAAUGUCAAUGUUCCCUAGGCAUCCGAUUAUUGUGAGGGAGGAGGAUCAUUCUAUGUGAGGCCCGGAUCAAACCAUUAUGGGGUCGAAACGUGUCGGGAAGUUUAUUGGGGCCAUACGUCGGUGAUGCGAAAAAAGUGUAUAUCCAAUCCGGAAAUUCAAUUCGAUACGGGCUUGAAGUUUCGAAAAAGGAAGAUAGACCUUUUGCUAAAUUAUAUUUCCUUUUCUAUAUAGUUUUUGAUGCGUUUUUAUUUAUUGAUAAUCUUUUGUGCAUUUCCUUUUUCUUUUUCUUUUUUAAAGAGAUUUAGUGUAGCUUUCUUUUCUUUUUGGGGUAUCAGGAUUUUGAAAAAAAAAAUCCAAAUCAAAUCUAAACCUCAUGCCGAGAACUCAAAGUUUUGAUAAAGGAUAUCUGGCGCCAUCCUUUUAGAUUUUAUUUAAUUUUCCAUUAUGAGUUUUGAUGGAUUUUCCUUCCAUACACACAUCAUGCUAUACGCAUGAUGCACAUAUAUGGCCACGCCCAUCCGUGCCCAAAUCGACCAAUCCAGUCAAAAUGGAUCAUAGACCUAUUUCUUAACCCAUACUCGAUAAGUUGAGUUUAGUAAAUUGAUUAUCAAUGAGUUUAAAAUAGUAAAGCCCACAACAUCAUCGAGAAUAUUCAUAACUUAAAUAAACACCAAUACAUUUAUAUGAUUCUCUUUCUUCACUCCCCUCCCUCAUUCCGUGCUCACCUCAAUUUUGAUAUUAAUUUUUUAAUAUUAGUUAAAUAUAAAAAAUGAUUUAACAACAUAAAUCAAGUCAAGUAUGUGUUGGAUAUAGAUUGUUUCAGAUAUUAGUAGCAACAUUCAUAUGACAGGAUAAUCUUACUAACAUUAAAAGGGAACUGAAGUCCAAAAGCAGGAUCCAGCCAACCAACAAUGCCACCAUAACGAACCGCUAUCUACAUUCGUGAGCCAAGCAAAGUCAUAUACUAGAUGUUUCAACGACUAAAAGACUGACACAGCAAAAUAAAACACAAAUCAUCUCCAUAGGUUCAGGAGGAGACUUAAAAGACAUAUCAUUCAAAUGCCCACUGGUUCUCCCGCCGCACCUCUUCCUCCUCCUCUGGGGUGAAGUCAUUCCUGAUAGUGAAGGUCUUGCGUUUCUCCUCAGGGGUCUUGCCUUUGAUCAUGUCAGCCACUGUCUGGCAUGUCAGGUCCAACAAGCUCUUGAUGUUCAGAAAGUUUGCAGCCUGAUUAGACACAAAUUCAUACAUGCGUCAGACCGAGUAACAACUAAUUGGAACAGCUUAUUAACAAAAAAAAGUUGGCCAUGCCGCAUCACGUUCACCAUUUGUAAAAACAGAAAACCCUUACAAUCAAGACCUUGGCAUAUUAAAUGAACAACACUUAGGUUUCUCCAAAGUCAAAGACCCUGCCCAGGCGGGGAAUCCAUAAUUACCUUCAUAUUGGAAGCCCCACCACUGUGUUAGUCCCUCCCACACAAAGUUGAGCAGUAGCGUGGGUGCAGGACAAGCGCAAGUUUCCUAUUUCUAUGCCAAAUGCAAAAUUUCCGUAUUAAUUCCUCACCAACAAAAAGAUUGCACACGGUUCCCCUUCUCCAAUUAUCUUCAAUGAUCAAUGAUUCAAUAAUAUAAUCCUAGAUGAUGCAGGGCACAGCACAUGCCACUUAACUAGCUUGAACGUCAAACUACAUGAUGUUUACUAGCACAAAAAUAUUCAUCAUACGCCAGCCUCAAAGGCUAAAACAGCAAUUAGGGAAAAAAAAAUUAAGAAAGCUUAGCACAUGGUGCAAGUAAGGCAUAUCAAAUGCAUCUCCACCAACUGAAGCUAGUUCCAUGGAUAACUACACAAUCGCUAAAUUCAAUUUGAGAAAAUAUUAACAAAUGUACACCAUAGAAAGGCACUUCAUGUUGACGAUGCUACUAGAAGACUUCAACAUGUCGUUUAAAGGAGCAUUGUGCCAUUUCAAAGAUGAUAUAUGACUCAAAUGCACUGUGAAAAGCAGUUAAUAGAGAUGGUAGUGCUCCUAAUAGCUCAUUGAAAUGUAAUAAUAUUACAACUUCAAAGGUAGAAGUGUUCCCAUAAGGAAAAUAAAAACAGAGGAUCUUUGAAAGUGCUUCUCACAGAGAAUUUCCCCACUUGAAAAAAAGCAAAGAAUCGCAGAUUCUCCGGCCGACCGAAGACCCCCGAAAAAAAAAUGAAGCCAAAAAAAGCAACAAGGGAAAGAUGGGGAGGGAAUCAACCGACCCGGAUGAGGUCAAACAGGGUGGCCUGGUCGACCUUGACGAAAUCGGCGUCCCAGGCCACGAGGUCCUCGUCGUCGACGCGAUCCUCGGCCUUGGCGGACUCGACGUGCUU